UUGAGUGUGGCUUAGUUGGUAAAGCGCUCGUCUUGCAUACAAGAGUCUUAGGUUCGGAUCCCACCCGAG
RNAcentral lists this transfer RNA (69 nucleotides) under Aedes aegypti (yellow fever mosquito). It matches the Rfam family "tRNA". From Rfam's summary of the family: Transfer RNA (tRNA) molecules are approximately 80 nucleotides in length. Their secondary structure includes four short double-helical elements and three loops (D, anti-codon, and T loops). Further hydrogen bonds mediate the characteristic L-shaped molecular structure. tRNAs have two regions of fundamental functional importance: the anti-codon, which is responsible for specific mRNA codon recognition, and the 3' end, to which the tRNAs corresponding amino acid is attached (by aminoacyl-tRNA synthetases). tRNAs cope with the degeneracy of the genetic code in two manners: having more than one tRNA (with a specific anti-codon) for a particular amino acid; and 'wobble' base-pairing, i.e. permitting non-standard base-pairing at the 3rd anti-codon position. The record is from Rfam by way of RNAcentral. Lineage: Eukaryota; Metazoa; Arthropoda; Insecta; Diptera; Culicidae.